AGGGGGUAACAUAUUUUUACAUUGGAAAUCAAAUGCAGACGUAGUAAUGUAACUGCAUAGAAAUAUCUGAUACUACGCAUUUUAUAAAUUAUCAAUACUAAAUUAAAUUGAAAACAUCAUUUAAAAUGAACAUAUUUGGCUAAUACAGUUAUAUGAUAAAAGAGAGAAUAUAGUAUAUACCUACUUUACAUCGAUUAUUAAUACAUUAAAACGUGUAUUGUUUGUUCCAAAGGUAAUUAGGAAAAACAAAUACAAUAUUCCUAUAUAGAAAUGGAAAACACUUUUUAUAAAAAAAAAACUAGAUAAACAUAACUUAUAAAAAGGAGUAAGGUUUUAGCAUCAAUUUUAGUCUAAUAGUUAUAUUUUACGAUCAAUACAUGUAUGGUAGUGGUUUGUAUAAAUGUAUUCACUCGUCACUAUUUAGAUUCAAAUCUGUAUAAUGUUGUAUUGUUACCUAAGUAUAUAAAGGGUAACAUUUACCAAAAAAAAAAAACUAUAUAAAGGGUUCUCAUAUGUGGGGAAAAAUCUAGAGUAUUUUACACUAUAAGACAGUUUCCAAGUUUUUAUUACAUUCUAGGCCAGUUAUCACUAUUAAAGUAGUUUUUUAUGACUAGAAACCAAACCAUCGUUAACUAGAUUCCCUUUAUCUAACUAAAGUGGUCCCACAAUUUUCUAAAAUUUAUUACU
This 687-nucleotide long non-coding RNA is filed under the name Brassica napus (rape). RNAcentral's name for it is "long non-coding RNA (BNAP_LNC011186)". The record is from RNAcentral. Lineage: Eukaryota; Viridiplantae; Streptophyta; Magnoliopsida; Brassicales; Brassicaceae.